Molecule: transfer RNA, 76 nt
Filed under: Actinomycetota bacterium
Lineage: Bacteria; Bacillati; Actinomycetota
Also listed under: 1 other name
Description: tRNA-Arg
Rfam family: tRNA
About the family: Transfer RNA (tRNA) molecules are approximately 80 nucleotides in length. Their secondary structure includes four short double-helical elements and three loops (D, anti-codon, and T loops).
Source: RNAcentral
GCCCUCGUAGCUCAGUGGAUAGAGCACCGGUUUCCUAAACCGGGUGUCGCAGGUUCGAUUCCUGCCGAGGGCACCA